This is a long non-coding RNA of Triticum aestivum (bread wheat), 1761 nucleotides long. RefSeq lists it as uncharacterized. The transcript is spliced from 2 exons. NCBI's taxonomy places the organism in Eukaryota, Viridiplantae, Streptophyta, Magnoliopsida, Poales, Poaceae. The record is from RefSeq and is a predicted model, not a curated record.
UUUGCCGCCUCCACGGCCGGGCCUCUGCCGCCUUCCGCCGCCCGCCCAUCCUCGCCCUCCUCCGCCGCCGCUCCACGGCCGGGCUUCCAUCCUACGCCGCCGCCCGCCCAUCCUCUGCCGCCUCCAGCCGGUCCUCUUCUCCGCCGCCGCGAGCGUGAGCAGCCCCCCUCCGCCCCUGGCCGUUGCCCGUGUGCGUCGGCUCUGCCUCCCCACAACGUGCGUCCGCUACACGCUUCCCACGACACGCAAGGGGAUCUCUUUCUGCAACGAAUCCCUCACCAAUUUGAGUGUCGAGGACAGGCAUAUCCUUUCCCUGAAUAUGGCCUACGUACAGAGGUGAAAGCUUUAUCAAUUAAUAGGAAGUUUGUGAUUGGAUGGAUGCUCCCAACAACCAUUUCUUCCAAGUACAUCCCCGUGGCUCCGCGACACUCUUUCAGGUUUGCCUCUUCUUACUUAUCUAGCCACUACCCAGUGGGUGUUAUUAUUGUUGUUAGUCCAUGACUGAUAGAAUCUGGAGGUUGUUAAUGCAGUUACUCAAUGGACUAAUAUGACCUUCGCACCGAACCAUUUCUUCUAAAAAUUAUUCACCUUACGUCCUUACCUUUGUUCUACCGUACUACUUUUAAUUUUUAUCAGCAUGCUCCAGUGCCUAUAAAUUAUUGCUACUGUAGCUUGUGCCAACAUGAAUGUGUGAAAUUUCUAAUGUAUACAGAUUUUGCUAAUGGUCAUAGUUCCAAAUUUCAUCUGGGUAAAUCCAUGUGCUUAACUUUUCUUUUAGGUAAUUUAAGUUUCUCUUCCCGGGGUUUAUAUUGCCUGAACGUUAAUUUUUCUAUUGCCUCAUCUUGGGUCAUACUUUGUGAUACAACCAUCUAUUUUUAUGUGUCUUGGCUUUGUUAUUAUUUAUUUUGAGUUCACUCAACAUAUCAUAAUCUUUUUUUUGCUUUAUCCGCAUUUUAGUUCAACAUGCCAUCUUGCAGACAUGGCUGCUAUAUCUGUUUGUUUCAAGCAUCAGCGGCAUCCAUGGGCUUGACAACAAUCUGAAGCGAGUAAUUGGUGGUGAGAGAUUUCUGAAUAAUGUAACCUGAAUAAGGAUGCUAUCGUGCUAUUCAUCUAUGUAUGCUGCUAUUGUAGAAACACAAUUUCUGAAUAACCAAAUUGGCACAUUUUCAGAUCAACAUUUUGUCUUCAACAUUACUGAACUUUUUAGAGUUCUGAUUCAAUUGUAUUUCAGAAUACUUGCAACCUGAAGAAUAGAGCAAUUCUUAGUGUUUGUUUGGAAGCCUUUUUUUAGAAGUAUUUAUAUAGGUUAUUUAAAUUGGGUUCAAUUAUUUUUCCUCCAAUGAAAUUUCAUGCCCCUAUAAAUAUAAUCUCUUAACUAUCUAAACAUGCAUUGCACUAUGUGUUGACAUGCUACCAUUGUCUAAUAUAUACCUAAACUUUCAUUUUACUCUACCCGAAUUUUCAUUUUUAAGUGGAUUUUUUGUGUGGUGAUAGCUGCCCUUGGUAUUGGAGAAAACAUGAGGAGGAUAAAUAGUCAAUGACAGUUGCUGAACGACUUCGUUAGAGUUUAGCGUAAGCGUUCAUGGGGGCCAGAGAAACGGGAUUUGGGACUUCUGAAUAAUACUUUUAGUGACAUGUAACAUUUUUUUAAAUAUGUUUCCUUGUAACUAGACAUACUUGUGCUUUCACUUCGAAACUCAAAUAGGCAAUUUGAGUUAGUGGUGUGCUUUAAUAAUGCAUAUUGUUGUUCUCUGGUUUCUC